CAGUAGCCGCGGGAAAACGUAGGGUGCAAGCGUUAAUCGGAAUUACUGGGCGUAAAGCGUGCGCAGGCGGUUAUAUAAGACAGAUGUGAAAUCCCCGGGCUCAACCUGGGAACUGCAUUUGUGACUGUAUAGCUAGAGUACGGCAGAGGGGGAUGGAAUUCCGCGUGUAGCAGUGAAAUGCGUAGAUAUGCGGAGGAACACCGAUGGCGAAGGCAAUCCCCUGGGCCUGUACUGACGCUCAUGCACGAAAGCGUGGGGAGCAAACAGGAUUAGAGACCCCCGUAGUCACUGUCUCUUAUAA
Molecule: ribosomal RNA, 301 nt
Filed under: uncultured bacterium
Lineage: Bacteria
Description: partial 16S ribosomal RNA
Rfam family: Bacterial small subunit ribosomal RNA
Source: RNAcentral